RNAcentral lists this ribosomal RNA (253 nucleotides) under uncultured bacterium. Its description in RNAcentral is "partial 16S ribosomal RNA". It matches the Rfam family "Bacterial small subunit ribosomal RNA", at positions 524 to 776 of the family's 1533-position model. The record is from RNAcentral.
UACGUAGGGUUCAAGCGUUAAUCGGAAUUACUGGGCGUAAAGCGUGCGCAGGCGGUUAUGCAAGACAGAUGUGAAAUCCCCGGGCUCAACCUGGGAACUGCAUUUGUGACUGCAUGGCUAGAGUACGGUAGAGGGGGAUGGAAUUCCGCGUGUAGCAGUGAAAUGCGUAGAUAUGCGGAGGAACACCGAUGGCGAAGGCAAUCCCCUGGGCCUGCACUGACGCUCAUGCACGAAAGCGUGGGGAGCAAACAGG